Pantherophis guttatus is the source of this 98-nucleotide long non-coding RNA. RefSeq lists it as uncharacterized. The record is from RefSeq and is a predicted model, not a curated record. NCBI's taxonomy places the organism in Eukaryota, Metazoa, Chordata, Lepidosauria, Squamata, Colubridae.
UAAAAUAUCCUCCUAUAAUAACCUUUGCUUCUGGAUAGUCCUCGAUUUAUAGCCUUUCAAAGUUACAAUGGCACUGAAUAAAGUGGCUUACAACUCUU